GAUGAACGCUGGCGGCGUGUCUAAGGCAUGCAAGUCGAACGGACUGUUAUUUGUAGCAAUACUUAGAACAGUUAGUGGCAAACGGGUGCGUAACACAUUGGUAACCUGCCUCAAAGUCGGGCAUAAUCCCGCGAAAGUGGGACUAAUUCCACGAUGGUCAUCGAAGGUGAGAUUCCUUCGAUGUAAAGUCGCAAGACGCUUUGAGAGGGGCCUAUGGCCUAUCAGCUUGUUGGUGAGGUAACGGCUCACCAAGGCUAUGACGGGUAGGGGGUGUGAGAGCACGACCCCCCUCACUGGGACUGAGACACUGCCCAGACACCUACGGGUGGCUGCAGUCGAGAAUAUUCCCCAAUGGCCGAAAGGCUGAGGGAGCGACGCCGCGUGCAGGAAUAAGGCCUU
RNAcentral lists this ribosomal RNA (399 nucleotides) under uncultured bacterium. RNAcentral describes it as "bacterial SSU rRNA". It matches the Rfam family "Bacterial small subunit ribosomal RNA", at positions 28 to 418 of the family's 1533-position model. The record is from RNAcentral.